Molecule: unclassified non-coding RNA, 280 nt
Filed under: fungal sp.
Lineage: Eukaryota; Fungi
Description: partial internal transcribed spacer region
Rfam family: Eukaryotic small subunit ribosomal RNA (bases 1-46)
Source: RNAcentral
AAGUCGUAACAAGGUCUCCGUUGGUGAACCAGCGGAGGGAUCAGUCCAAAACGUAAAACGUUUCAGUUUUAUAUUAACCAACCGUGCUCUUUGUUUUUCAUUUGCCUUUCUUGAAGGUUUGGGCGUUUAUUCCCAAAUGCAAAUCUUCUAUUUUAUUAACCAUAUAAACCUUUUUUUAAUGUUAAAACUGAUCUUUUGUGGGGUAAUCUUUUAAAACGGAUUAUCUCGUAUAAUUAAAACAAUAUUUAUACAACUUAUGCCGGCGGAUACCUUGGUUCUC